RNAcentral lists this ribosomal RNA (420 nucleotides) under Kingella oralis. RNAcentral's name for it is "bacterial SSU rRNA". It matches the Rfam family "Bacterial small subunit ribosomal RNA", at positions 30 to 444 of the family's 1533-position model. The record is from RNAcentral. Lineage: Bacteria; Pseudomonadati; Pseudomonadota; Betaproteobacteria; Neisseriales; Neisseriaceae.
AUUGAACGCUGGCGGCAUGCUUUACACAUGCAAGUCGAACGGCAGCACGAAAGAGCUUGCUCUUUUGGUGGCGAGUGGCGAACGGGUGAGUAAUGCAUCGGAACGUACCGAGUAAUGGGGGAUAACUAUCCGAAAGGAUAGCUAAUACCGCAUACGCUUUGAGAAGGAAAGUGGGGGCUCUUCGGACCUCACGUUAUUCGAGCGGCCGAUGUCUGAUUAGCUAGUUGGUGGGGUAAAGGCCUACCAAGGCGACGAUCAGUAGCGGGUCUGAGAGGAUGAUCCGCCACACUGGGACUGAGACACGGCCCAGACUCCUACGGGAGGCAGCAGUGGGGAAUUUUGGACAAUGGGCGCAAGCCUGAUCCAGCCAUGCCGCGUGUCUGAAGAAGGCCUUCGGGUUGUAAAGGACUUUUGUUAGGG